CAGGGUGUAGCUCCAAUUGGCAGAGCAGCGAUUCCAAUCCGCGUGUUGGGAGUUCGAAUCUCUCCACCCUUGCCA
Molecule: transfer RNA, 75 nt
Filed under: Vibrio vulnificus
Lineage: Bacteria; Pseudomonadati; Pseudomonadota; Gammaproteobacteria; Vibrionales; Vibrionaceae
Description: tRNA-Trp
Rfam family: tRNA
About the family: Transfer RNA (tRNA) molecules are approximately 80 nucleotides in length. Their secondary structure includes four short double-helical elements and three loops (D, anti-codon, and T loops). Further hydrogen bonds mediate the characteristic L-shaped molecular structure. tRNAs have two regions of fundamental functional importance: the anti-codon, which is responsible for specific mRNA codon recognition, and the 3' end, to which the tRNAs corresponding amino acid is attached (by aminoacyl-tRNA synthetases). tRNAs cope with the degeneracy of the genetic code in two manners: having more than one tRNA (with a specific anti-codon) for a particular amino acid; and 'wobble' base-pairing, i.e. permitting non-standard base-pairing at the 3rd anti-codon position.
Source: RNAcentral